This 23-nucleotide non-coding RNA is filed under the name Xenopus tropicalis (tropical clawed frog). RNAcentral also lists the same sequence under 2 other names. Lineage: Eukaryota; Metazoa; Chordata; Amphibia; Anura; Pipidae. The record is from RNAcentral.
UCGGCCUUUUGGCUAAGAUCAAG